AGUAAUAUAUCGGAACGUACCCUGGAGUGGGGAUAACGUAGCGAAAGUUACGCUAAUACCGCAUACGAUCUAAGGAUGAAAGCAGGGGACCGCAAGGCCUUGUGCUCCUGGAGCGGCCGAUAUCUGAUUAGCUAGUUGGUGGGGUAAAGGCCUACCAAGGCAUCGAUCAGUAGCUGGUCUGAGAGGACGACCAGCCACACUGGAACUGAGACACGGUCCAG
This 221-nucleotide ribosomal RNA is filed under the name uncultured bacterium. Its description in RNAcentral is "partial 16S ribosomal RNA". It matches the Rfam family "Bacterial small subunit ribosomal RNA", at positions 109 to 334 of the family's 1533-position model. The record is from RNAcentral.